Molecule: ribosomal RNA, 1637 nt
Filed under: metagenome
Description: bacterial LSU rRNA
Rfam family: Bacterial large subunit ribosomal RNA
Source: RNAcentral
UCGAAUGGUGUACGUAAGUUAUCCUGGAGCGGUGAGUAAAGCAAAUGUAGGAAUAAGUAACGAUAAGGAGGGUUAGAUUCCCUCCCGCUGUAAGACCAAGGUUUCCCGGGCAAUGCCAAUCAGCCCGGGGUCAGUCGGGUCCUAAGUCUAAGCCGAACGGCGAUGGCGAUGGCAGAGACGGUUAAUAUUCCGUCACUGCCGCAUGGGGCGACGUGGAGACGGAGCAGUGAAACCACCGCGGGGCGACGGAAGUCCCCGUUGAAGAGUGUAGGUGUUGAGGAUGGCAGGCAAAUCCACCGUCCGAGCUGAACUUGAUAGUAUGGAGUCUUCUUCGGAAGAAUCCAAUAGUGUGGGUAAUCAUACUCCCGAGAAAAUCCGCUAAGCUUAACCCAUGCGGCACCCGUACCGCAAACGGACACACGUGGUCGGGUAGAACAUACUGAGGCGUUGAGAGAUUCAUGGUUAAGGAACUAGGCAAAUUGACCCUGUAACUUCGGGAUAAAGGGUCCUCGUGAAUAGCGAGGCGCAGAGAAUAGGUCCAGGCAACUGUUUAACAAAAACACAGGGCUGUGCAAACUCGAAAGAUGACGUAUACAGCCUGACACCUGCCCGGUGCCGGAAGGUUAAGAGGAGAUGUCACUAGCAAUAGGAAGCAUUGAAUUGAAGCCCCGGUAAACGGCGGCCGUAACGAUAACGGUCCUAAGGUAGCGAAAUUCCUUGUCGGGUAAGUUCCGACCUGCACGAAUGGUGUAAUGAUCCGGACGCUGUCUCAACCAUGAGCUCAGUGAAAUUGUAGUAUCGGUGAAGAUGCCGAUUACCCGCGAUGGGACGAAAAGACCCCGUGAACCUUUACUACAGCUUAGCAUUGACCUUGGUCAUCCGAUGUGUAGGAUAGGCCGGAGGCUUCGAAGCGGGAGCGCCAGCUUUCGUGGAGCCAUCCUUGAAAUACGGCCCUUUGGCUGUCUGAGGUCUAACGCGUGAAACGCGGACACUGCUUGGUGGGUAGUUUGACUGGGGUGGUCGCCUCCAAAAGCGAAACGGAGGCUUCCAAAGGUGCCCUCGGGUCGAUUGGUAACCGACCUCAAAGAGUGCAAUGGCAUAAGGGCGCUUGACUGGGAGGCAGACAUGCCGAGCAGGCAGGAAACUGGGGCAUAGUGAUCCGGCGGAUGUGUAUUGAAACUCCGUCGCUCAAAGGAUAAAAGGUACUCCGGGGAUAACAGGCUGAUCCCCCCCAAGAGCUCAUAUCGACGGGGUGGUUUGGCACCUCGAUGUCGGCUCGUCACAUCCUGGGGCUGGAGAAGGUCCCAAGGGUUGGGCUGUUCGCCCAUUAAAGUGGCACGCGAGCUGGGUUCAGAACGUCGUGAGACAGUUCGGUCUCUAUCUAUCGUGGGCGUGGGAGUUUUGAGUGGUGCCGUCACUAGUACGAGAGGACCGUGAUGGACAGACCUCCGGUUUACCAGUUGUGCCGCCAGGCGCACCGCUGGGUAUCUGAGUCUGGAUUGGAUAAGCGCUGAAAGCAUCUAAGUGCGAAGCCAGCCGCAAGAUGAGAACUCCAUUGAGGGUCGUCAGAGACGAUGACGUUGAUAGGAUGCAGGUGUAAAGACAGCGAUGUCAAAGCCGAGCAUUACUAAUUGCCC